Molecule: long non-coding RNA, 4650 nt
Filed under: Homo sapiens (human)
Lineage: Eukaryota; Metazoa; Chordata; Mammalia; Primates; Hominidae
Description: non-protein coding lnc-WDR37-5:1
Source: RNAcentral
AAUGACUUAUUUGACAACCACCUUUCAAAACUGCCUGCACAUCUCACCAUGGCCCUCAGGAUGACGCUGGCUCCUGUGCAUCCUGCGCCGGGCAUGGUGCCUCACGUGAGGUCAUUUCCACGGCCACGUGUGUCCUCCUGCCGCUUCACAGACGGUGACUUCCACCUCCAUGUCCUCAGACUCCACUCUCCACAGAGCCCUGACUGUCAUUAACUCCCUGACUUAGAAUAUUUCAUCCGUAUUUGUGUAUGAAGGGUCCUUUAUGUUGAAUGUUAUUUAAGCCCUAGGUUUAAUUUUUGUUUUUGUGCAGGAUAGAAAACAGAUGAACACAUACGUUAUCAGAUGGUCUCUCUGUACAAAUAAUGCACGGCCCAGAUGCUUAUGGUCUGGAAUCAUUAGCAUAACAUAUGCUGCUGCUCAGAAACGGCAAGUGCGGCGCAAUUCUGAAACAGCUCCUGCCUUAGCAGGUACAUCCUGGUCUAUGCUCAGGUCUGAUUUUGGCAGAUACACAAGUACCUUCUUGCCAAAGGCUGUGUCCCCAUGUCACUGCUUGUGCCUGGCCCAGAGCAGAGGCUCCGAGUGGUGGCACCACUUCUGUCAUUGUCGGGACCAUGGCUGCCCCUCCUCCCCCUCCUGCUAAACCAACAAGGGCUGUUGACUGAGGGCCCCCGAGGGCCACUGAGUGCACCCCACAGUGGCAGGCACCCUGCAACCAAGUGUCCCUGAGUCCACCCCACCAUGGCAGACACCCUGCAGCUGAGAGGCCCUGAGUGCACCUCACUGUGGCAGGCACCCUGCAGCCAAGUGGCCCUGAGUCCACCUCACCGUGGCAGGCACCCUGCAGCCAAGUGGCCCUGAGUCCACCCCACCGUGGCAGGCACCCUGCAGCUGAGAGGCCCUGAGUGCACCUCACUGUGGCAGGCACCCUGCAGCCAAGCGGCCCUGAGUCCAACCCACCGUGGCAGGCACCCUGCAGCCAAGCGGCACUGAUGAGCCCUUGGAGGUCAGAACUCAGACGCAGAAGCAGACAGUACCUGGAACUGAACCCCUGCAAGCUCCAUGCAGAGAACAGCGUGGCAGCACUCGAGGAGGGAAAGGCUUUGGGGAAGAGGGAGGGAGGCAGAAGGAGCAGCUCAGGGAGCUCAUCAAUGAGGGAGGGUGAGUGGAGCAGAGAUGAAGAGAUGAGAUACACACAGCCAGGGAGGAGGAUGAGAUGGAGAGGGAGAGACAGAGACACAGAAAGACAGAGACAAGCAGACAAGGACAGAGAUAAAAAGACAAAGAGAGACAGAGAUGGGCACACAGAGAAAGAGACAGAGAGACAAGGACAGAGAUGGAGACAAAGCUAGAGACAGACAGGGAGAGAGAUACAGAGAGACAGAGGGAGAGACAUAGAGACAGACGCAGAGACAGAGAGAGGCCGAGAGCGAGAGGAGGAGGGAGAAGAGAUGAUGGGGACAAGGGGAAGCCAAGUCUAAGACAGGAGAGAACCAGUACCAGAACCAGAAGGUGGCUGGGCUUCGAGGGGCCUGGGCCAGUGGCUAGGGGCAUUUCAAGCCUUGCCUGUGCCCCCACACCUGGGCACCCCCCUGUCCACUGCACCCCUGUCCUGUCACCAGACUCGGGGAUGAAGCACUUGUGAAUGGAGAGAGAGGACGCAACUCUGUUCUAACCCGGCAGGUGCUUAGGAUUAAUUCCUGGACAAAUUCAGGAAUUCUCACUCUAGCUGCCCAGAGCCACGGGUGUGACAAUUUCCACAAACUUGUAUUCUGUUUUCAAAAGGAGUCUAGAAUCACCCCCAAAUCCCGGACACUGAAAGCCCCUGGCCAGGAAGCAGUGUAGACCUUUGUUUUUCAAGGAGAUUUUGUUACAGAGAGACAACCCUGCCCCUUGAGUGGCCACUGAGUGCUUGGACCUGCCAGCGUUGUGUGGGUUUGCAUCUGUGUCCAGCAUCUCGUGGGUUUGCACCUGUGCCCGGACCUGCCAGUGUUGCGUGGGUUUGCACCUGUGCCCAGACCUGCUGGCAUCGCGUGGGUUUGCACGUGUCCAGCAUCAUGUAGGUUUGUACCUGUGCCCAGACCUGGCAUUGCGUGGGUUCGCACCUGUGUCCAGCGUUGUGUAGCUUUGCACCUGUACCCGGACCUGCCGGUGACACAUAGGUUUGCACCUGUGUCCAGCAUCGUGUAGGUUUGCACCUGUGUCCAGCGUCAUGUAGGUUUGCACCUGUGUCCAGCGUAGUGUAGGUUUGCACCUGUGCCCGGACCUGCUGGCGUUGCAUGGGUUUGCACCUGUGUCCAGCAUCGUGUAGGUUUGCACCUGUGCCUGGACCUGCCAGCGUUGCAUGGGUUUGCCCCUGUGCCUGGACCUUCUGGCGUUGUGUAGGUUUGCACCUGUACCCAGCGUCACGUGGGUUUGCACCUGUGCCUGGACCUGCCGGCGUCGCAUGGGUUUGCACCUGUGCCUGGACCUGCCAGCGUUGCGUGGGUUUGCCCCUGUGCCUGGACCUUCUGGCGUUGUGUAGGUUUGCACCUGUACCCAGCGUCGCGUGGGUUUGCACCUGUGCCUGGACCUGCCGGCGUCGCGUGGGUUCGCACCUGUGUUUAGUCCACCAUCUAUGGAUGUUGAAGAUCCCAGGGACGGCCAAGUUUCAAUUCUGUAGGUGCUAAUUUACUUCAUUUUUCUGGGGCACCAGAGAGUAAAUUUAGAAACCCAAUGCUAUCUUAGGGCACCAAGAGAAUUUCAGUUGAGGUGAAAAUUACUGCUUUUUCCUCAUCAUGAAUAGAUGAAAACAUUGUAAAGGAAGAAUACAUUUUCUUUUGAAGAAUGAGCUAUUUGUCGACAAUGGGCUGUUCCCUUUGAUGCAGAAACCACGGCUUUGGUCCACUGUCAUUAGGCUGACCCUGUGGCUCCCCAGCCAGGAGUGCCCAGAGCCAGGAAGGAAAGGGCACCAUUUUCCCCAGCUCUCCCACGAUUUCCAUGAGAAGGUGGAACCAUUGUUGUUAGGGCUGGGGUUUCAUCUGCCUGGAGUCCAGAAGCCGGUCUGUGUAGAUCCCGGGGAGCAGAGCUGUAGGGGCCUGCAGGGGCGGGGGCAGGUGCGGCGGGGGUCUCCCGUUUUCUCCUGGGCCCUGUGUCCCCUGAUGUCACCCCCCUGACCUCCAGCCCCUUGGGUUUUGUGGACGGGCCAGGGCCCAGCACUCGGGCUUAGGAUGGGUAAACAGUUGUCCUGUUAUCUGUUGGGCAUAUGGCAGGUGCCUGUCCCAUGCAGGCACUGCCUGCCCCAUGGGCAUCUGUCUGUGCUAGAACCCCUGGGUGGCUGCGUUUUGAAGAGGAUUUUACGGGGGCUGGCUGUGCGCACCCUCUCCCUUCUCUCCGUUCUCUCCCCAGAUCGUGCUGUGGUUGUAGGGAGCCCAGGACCCCAUGGGCACAAAAGCCUCCAUGCAAGCAUCAGAGGUGAUGCCCCGGGUCCUGCUCAGGCCUUCGGCUUCCUGGCCCUCCCCACUCAGCCUCCUUCCUGCACAUCCUGGGGACCAACCUUUGCAUCUCCUGCCUGGCUCCACCACAAAACGUCCUUACAGAGGGUCUCAGGGCCACAGCCUCGUUGGGAGUUGGGGGUGGCACCCGGAGACCACAUUUGCACCAAAUGCGCUGUUUUCACUCCAGCUGCAGAUGACAGAGGAACAGGACGACCAGAGUGUCCAAGGGUGUUCUGGGUCCCUCAACCCAGACUUCCUGUGACCACAUUGUUGUUAGUUUAUCAGGCUUGUGGGGAAUUCAUGGCUCUUUUAGGGAAACUCAUGCUGUCCCCACACCUGUGACCCCUAUUUUCCAAACCAAAGUUACAGAAAUGUCCUGCAUUGGGGAUGGCGCUUUCAGGGCGUCAGACCAAUGUGGGGGAGGUCUAGGGGCUUCAGAUCAACGUUGGGGAGGUCUUAGGGCCUCAGAUCCACGUUGGGGAGGCCUCAGGGCCUCAAAUCCACGUUGGGGAGGCCUCAGGGCAUCAGAGCAACGUGGGGGAGGCCUCGGGGCCUCAGAGCAACGUGGGGGAGGUCUCAGGGUGUCACCAACGUGGGGGUGUCACCAACGUGGGGGAGGUCUCGGGGUCAGAUCGAGGACGGAGAGGUCUUGGGACAUUAGACCAAGGUUGGGGGAAGUCUCAGGGCAUCAGACUAACCUGGGGGAGGUCUUGGGGCAUCAGACUGAGGUUGGGGGAGGUCUUAGGGUAUCAGACUGAGGUCAAGGAGGUCUCGGGGCAUCAGACCGAGGUUGGGGGAGGUCUCGGGGCAUCAGGCCAAGGUAGGGGGAGGUCUCAACGCGUCAGACCAAGGUUGGGGGAGGUCUUGGGCAGAGCAGCUCAGGAGCUUGGGGCGUGGCAGCGACUGGAGGUGCUGGGAGGGAGGCGGGUGCCCAUUCUGCAGCUUCCUGCUCCUCUGCACAGAGCUCAGCCGAGGCCUCUCAUCCCGAGACCUCCACAUGGAGGCUUUGAAAACUCCAUCCAAGAAGACAAUAUCUCGGGAUGGUAGGGGAAAGGUGUUCCACCCAGCUGACCUCAAGGCCUUUGGCUGUCCCUGGACAUUAGUCAGGUUUUUGUGGAAAGCCCAGUGGGGAGGGAGGCCCUGGCUUCUCGUUAGCCUAUGGCCACCCCGACUGGCC